RNAcentral lists this ribosomal RNA (301 nucleotides) under uncultured bacterium. RNAcentral's name for it is "partial 16S ribosomal RNA". It matches the Rfam family "Bacterial small subunit ribosomal RNA", at positions 509 to 809 of the family's 1533-position model. The record is from RNAcentral.
CAGCCGCCGCGGGAAUACGAAGGGUGCAAGCGUUACUCGGAAUUACUGGGCGUAAAGCGUGCGUAGGUGGUGGUUUAAGUCCGUUGUGAAAGCCCUGAGCUUAACUUAGGAAUUGCAUUCGAUACUGGGAAGCUAGAGUAUGGGAGAGGAUGGUAGAAUUCCAGGUGUAGCGGUGAAAUGCGUAGAGAUCUGGAGGAAUACCGAUGGCGAAGGCAGCCAUCUGGCCUAAUACUGACGCUGAGGUACGAAAGCAUGGGGAGCAAACAGGAUUAGAUACCCCGGUAGUCCCUGUCUCUUAUAU